AACGCACGAGACCUGCGGACCUGCGGAAGGAUCAUUACCGAGUGCGGGCCCUCGCGGCCCAACCUCCCACCCUUGUCUCUAUACACCUGUUGCUUUGGCGGGCCCACCGGGGCCACCUGGUCGCCGGGGGACGUCGUCUCCGGGCCCGCGCCCGCCGAAGCGCUCUGUGAACCCUGAUGAAGAUGGGCUGUCUGAGUACUAUGAAAAUUGUCAAAACUUUCAGCAACGGAUCUCUAGAUC
RNAcentral lists this unclassified non-coding RNA (240 nucleotides) under soil metagenome. Its description in RNAcentral is "partial contains 5.8S ribosomal RNA, internal transcribed spacer 2, and large subunit ribosomal RNA". The record is from RNAcentral.